RNAcentral lists this ribosomal RNA (492 nucleotides) under uncultured bacterium. RNAcentral's name for it is "partial 16S ribosomal RNA". It matches the Rfam family "Bacterial small subunit ribosomal RNA", at positions 30 to 507 of the family's 1533-position model. The record is from RNAcentral.
AUUGAACGCUGGCGGCAUGCCUAACACAUGCAAGUCGAACGGCAACACGUUUAGGGCUUCCUCUUAGGGGUGACGGGUGGCGGACGAGUUAGGAAUACGUCCGAUCCUGCUUUUUCGUGGGGGAUAACGUUGGAUAACAUCCCCUACUACCUCAUACUGCCAACGGGGGAAAUCAGGAGCUCUUCGGGCCUUAGCCGAUUCUAUUAGACGAGGUCGGUUUAGCUAGUUGGUGGGGUAAAGGCCCAGCAAGGCAACGAUACGGAGCUGGUCUGAAAGGAUGAUCAGCCAAACUGGAACUGAGACACGGUCCAGACUCCUAAGGGAGGCAGCAGUGGGGAAUUUUGGGCAAUGGGCGGAAACCUGAACCAACCAGACCGCGUGGGAGAAGAAGGGCUUCCGGUUGGAAAACUGUUUUGGUAGGGAAGAAAAAGCGUAUAUUUAAAAAAGGGGGGUCUGACGGUACCCAAAAAAAAAGCCACGGCUAACUUCGGG